RNAcentral lists this ribosomal RNA (506 nucleotides) under Pseudolycoriella tuakana. RNAcentral's name for it is "partial 16S ribosomal RNA". Lineage: Eukaryota; Metazoa; Arthropoda; Insecta; Diptera; Sciaridae. The record is from RNAcentral.
GUCUUUUUGUUUUAAAUAUAAAGUAUAACCUGCCCAUUGAGAUUUUUAAAAGGCUGCGGUAUUUUGACCGUACAAAGGUAGCAUAAUCGUUAGUUUUUUAAUUGAGAACUUGUAUGAAUGGUUGGAUGAGAAAUAGACUUUUUUAAUAUAAAAAUUGAAUUUUACAUUUUAAUUAAAAGGUUAAAAUAUUUUUAAAAGACGAGAAGACCCUAUAGAGUUUUAUAAUUUAUAUUUAAUGUAAAAAAAAAUUAAUAGAUAUUUUUAUUUAAAUAAUUAUUUUGUUGGGGUGACGAUAAAAUUUAAUUAACUUUUAUUUUUUUAUACAUUAAUAUAUGGGGGAUUGAUCCACUAUUGGUGAUUAAAAAUUUAAAUUACCUUAGGGAUAACAGCGUAAUUUUUUUUUUAAGCUCAUAUUAAUAAAAAAUUUUGCGACCUCGAUGUUGGAUUAAGAUUUAAUUUUAGGUGCAGAAGUUUAAAAUUUAAGUCUGUUCGACUUUUAAAUUCUU